GUGCCAGCAGCCGCGGUAACACGAACUGUGCAAACGUUAUUCGGAAUCACUGGGCUUAAAGAGUUCGUAGGCGGCGCGUUAAGUCGGGUGUGAAAUCCCUCGGCUCAACCGAGGAAUUGCGCUCGAAACUGGCGUGCUUGAGUGAGAUAGAGGUGAGCGGAACUGAUGGUGGAGCGGUGAAAUGCGUUGAUAUCAUCAGGAACACCGGUGGCGAAAGCGGCUCACUGGGUCUCAACUGACGCUGAGGAACGAAAGCUAGGGGAGCGAACGGGAUUAGAUACCCGCGUAGUCC
Molecule: ribosomal RNA, 292 nt
Filed under: uncultured bacterium
Lineage: Bacteria
Description: partial 16S ribosomal RNA
Rfam family: Bacterial small subunit ribosomal RNA
Source: RNAcentral